This 497-nucleotide ribosomal RNA is filed under the name uncultured bacterium. Its description in RNAcentral is "partial 16S ribosomal RNA". It matches the Rfam family "Bacterial small subunit ribosomal RNA", at positions 28 to 507 of the family's 1533-position model. The record is from RNAcentral.
GAUGAACGCUGGCGGCGUGCCUAAUACAUGCAAGUCGAGCGAACAGACGAGGAGCUUGCUCCUCUGACGUUAGCGGCGGACGGGUGAGUAACACGUGGAUAACCUACCUAUAAGACUGGGAUAACUUCGGGAAACCGGAGCUAAUACCGGAUAAUAUAUUGAACCGCAUGGUUCAAUAGUGAAAGACGGUAUUUCUGUCACUUAUAGAUGGAUCCGCGCCGCAUUAGCUAGUUGGUAAGGUAACGGCUUACCAAGGCGAGGAUGCGUAGCCGACCUGAGAGGGUGAUCGGCCACACUGGAACUGAGACACGGUCCAGACUCCUACGGGAGGCAGCAGUAGGGAAUCUUCCGCAAUGGGCGAAAGCCUGACGGAGCAACGCCGCGUGAGUGAUGAAGGUCUUCUGAUCGUAAAACUCUGUUAGUAGGGAAGAACAAAUGUGUAAGUAACUAUGCACGUCUUGACGGUACCUAAUCAGAAAGCCACGGCUAACUACGUG